AGCACUUUUUCGUGCGGCUGUUGAUAAAAACAGGAUCGCCAACAUGAUCGCCAAUGUCCGAUAACGGAUAUGGCACAAGAAGAAGAACCCUUUCAGACUGACUGCAACUCACAUUUGAUAUGAAGAACAUCUCUCUCUCUCUCUUUCUCUCUGUUUCUGUCUCUCUCUUAUUUAUCUUCCAAGUUCCUUCUCCUUUCACGAGGCCAACAAUGCCUGUUUCUUUCAGAAAUCACCUUCAACCCUGGGAUCCUUCCUUCAACCAAACUGCUUUCUUACACCUACAGUACUUUAAAACACAUGGUGGCAACCUUGAAAUAACUUUGGUUAUUUGGUUUGCCUUCCUUUUACCACCAAAUUUACAUAUUAGAAGUCCAUUUCUUUGUGAAGGGAACAAGCGGUAUAGCUAAGUUUCUUUCAUAGCAAAGUUGGCAAGGAACCUCUGAAGGUGAUUAUACCAGCUUUGAAAUCCCCCAAACAUAUAUUUGUUUUUUUUUACUAUUUUCAUUAUUCAUCUGGAAAAAUGAUGUUGUGGUCUGUCCUACUCCUCAUCAUCUCAGUUUUAAGAGGAAGCACAGGACAGUCAGUGAACCAAACAUCUGGCAUUCUGACUGUUACUGAAGAACAACCUGUUUCUCUCAAUUGUUCCUAUGAAGGACAGUUUAGUAUAAAUUACCCAUUCUGGUACAUUCAGCAUCCUGGUCAGCCUCUGGAGAUCUUGUUGACCAAAUUUGACAACAAGAACCAAGAUUUCCAAGCUAUUCACAAUGAAAACAAGAAUAAAGGGACUUUCAACAUGCGGAAACCAGCCAUCCAGCUGCAGGACUCUGCUGUCUAUUUCUGUGCCUUCAAAGAGACACAGUGAGAGGAAGCAGAAAAGGAACCAGUCAAAAACUGGAGAAAAAGUAUUAAGAGCAGAGACAGGGAGAUAUUGCAAUUGUCAAUUGAUCCACUUAACAACAGUGACUCUUUCAGUUUCAUGUUUCAUAUUAGGUAGUUCUCUCUUCCACUCUCCCUCUCAUAUCCUCCCAGUUUCCUCUCCAUUCACCUGGACAAUAAUAUAUUUUUCUUUCAGAAAUCACUUUCAACCCUGGGAUCCUUCCUUCAACCAAACUUCUUUCUUACUGCUCCUUUAAAACACAUGGUGGCAAUCUUGAGGCAACAUGAGUCUUACCAAGUGCCACAUAUGAAAUCCUGUAUAGCACAUAUGCUCUGUGAAACAUAUCCUGUGGUUUGUCUUUUUUUUUUUUGCCACCAAAUUAACAUAUUAGA
Crotalus tigris (Tiger rattlesnake) is the source of this 1269-nucleotide non-coding RNA. The record is from the annotation of a RefSeq genome assembly. Lineage: Eukaryota; Metazoa; Chordata; Lepidosauria; Squamata; Viperidae.